GUCUACGGCCAUGCUACCCUGAACGAGCCCGAUCUCGUCUGAUUUUGGAAGCUAAGCAGGGUCAGGCCUGGUUAGUACUUGAAUGGGAGACCACCUAGAAAGACCAGGUGAAGGUGUAAAAA
Molecule: ribosomal RNA, 122 nt
Filed under: Pteropus alecto (black flying fox)
Lineage: Eukaryota; Metazoa; Chordata; Mammalia; Chiroptera; Pteropodidae
Source: RNAcentral